Molecule: ribosomal RNA, 491 nt
Filed under: uncultured bacterium
Lineage: Bacteria
Description: partial 16S ribosomal RNA
Rfam family: Bacterial small subunit ribosomal RNA
Source: RNAcentral
AGUGAACGCUGGCGGUAGGCCUAACACAUGCAAGUCGAACGGCAGCACAGUAAGAGCUUGCUCUUACGGGUGGCGAGUGGCGGACGGGUGAGGAAUACAUCGGAAUCUACUUUUUCGUGGGGGAUAACGUAGGGAAACUUACGCUAAUACCGCAUACGACCUACGGGUGAAAGCAGGGGAUCUUCGGACCUUGCGCGAUUGAAUGAGCCGAUGUCGGAUUAGCUAGUUGGCGGGGUAAAGGCCCACCAAGGCGACGAUCCGUAGCUGGUCUGAGAGGAUGAUCAGCCCCACUGAAACUGAGAAACGGUCCAGACUCCUACGGGAGGCAGCAGUGGGGAAUAUGGACAAUGGGCGCAAGCCUGAUCCAGCCAUACCGCGUGGGUGAAGAAGGCCUUCGGGUUGUAAAGCCCUUUUGUUGGGAAAGAAAAGCAGCAGGUUAAUACCCCGCUGUUCUGACGGUACCCAAAGAAUAAGCACCGGCUAACUUCGUG